AAUAUGUGAUAAUGAAGUCUCUCCUUGCCAGGGAUGGGAACACCCACCAGCGAUUCAAUACUGGCUAAAAGAAAGUGAAAGAGAUACCAAAUGGAAGUGAAAGUGAUACCAAAUGAAAGACCCAUCCAAGAAAAACCAAGAGAGCAAGAGCAGCAAAAUUGAUGCAGAUUAUCUCCGAGAAAAGCCAAGAGUUCAAAGACCAGAAGUAGCUGGAGAUGGAGACAACAUCAAUGGGAAACCUGGUCAUACCGUGGAUCUGAAUGGAAAACCUGUACUGCCUGGAAGCCCACGUUGUGCUCCUUAGGGAGGCCAUCCGAAAUGCAUCUGAAGGAUGAGAUCAGUACUACCAGAGCUCAGCUGUCAUAGACCCACUGAAGGCCAGUGAGCUUAACUUGGCCAGGUUGUGCACGUGAUCCGUCCACGGAGAGAAUUGUUCCCUGUCCGAGAAGAUGAAGUACAUCUACAACCUUCCUUCAAGAGAUAAAAAGGUAC
This is a long non-coding RNA of Amblyraja radiata (thorny skate), 492 nucleotides long. RefSeq lists it as uncharacterized. The transcript is spliced from 3 exons. Lineage: Eukaryota; Metazoa; Chordata; Chondrichthyes; Rajiformes; Rajidae. The record is from RefSeq and is a predicted model, not a curated record.